Molecule: ribosomal RNA, 769 nt
Filed under: Liljeborgiidae sp. 1 KNW-2012
Lineage: Eukaryota; Metazoa; Arthropoda; Malacostraca; Amphipoda; Liljeborgiidae
Description: partial 18S ribosomal RNA
Rfam family: Eukaryotic small subunit ribosomal RNA
Source: RNAcentral
AUACGAACGAGACUCUCCCCUGCUAACUAGUCGGUUGGAUCUUUACAUAUUUUGCGAGCUGUACGCCUUUGGUUUAUAGCGCUGGCGUUCUGUGCGUCUCUCUCUCGCGCAUACGUUUACUGCCGGGCCGCUUGCGUGUUGACGCGUGAGUGCUCUGUGAUAUGUGUAUAUGGGCGCGCGCUCUUUUUGAGUGUUCGUGUCUGUGUGUACAUUUUUGCGGGGUAUUUGCGCUGAGCGUUUGCGGUUACAUUCGCGUGGUGCGUGUGUGUGUGUGGGGGGGUACUCGCUUGUCUUCAACGCCUUAUGUGUGUACACUCAAAGUCCGCCGCCUAGGAACCUUACGUGUUCCUAAUUCUUUUUAUAGGGAUCUACGGUACUGAAACCGUCAGAGACUGAGAGCCAUAACAGGUCUGUAAUGCCCUUUGAUGCUCUGGGGCGCACGCGCGCUACACUGCCGGACGCAGCAGGUGUUUUCCCUUCUCCGAUAGGAGCGGGUAACCCUCUAAAAGUCCUUGUUCUCUCUCUACACGAGGAUAGCGGCGUGCUUGGGCCUGGGGCUUGCAAUUGUUUCCCACUAACGAGGAAUUCCUAGUAGCGGCGAGUCACUGAGCUCGCCGUGACUUAGUCCCUGCCCUUUGUACACACCGCCCGUCGCUACUACCGAUUGAGUGUAUUAGUGAGAACCUUGGACUGGCGACCGUUGUUUGCUCGCGCUUACGACGACCACGACGGAAAGAGGUUCGAACUGGUGCACUUAGAGGAAGUAAAA